RNAcentral lists this long non-coding RNA (259 nucleotides) under Lathyrus oleraceus (garden pea). RNAcentral describes it as "Pisum sativum (pea) long non-coding RNA (PSAT_LNC013921)". The record is from RNAcentral. Lineage: Eukaryota; Viridiplantae; Streptophyta; Magnoliopsida; Fabales; Fabaceae.
UUUAAGAUGCUUAGCACCAUAUUUAUAUCUCCCAUCCUUUGGUUUAGUUGUUAGUUUUUGGUACGUGAGAUUUUAAUGUGAUUGGGUGCAUAUCUUCUAAAUGACAUGAUUGGUUUUUCGUUGUAUUCUUUUUAUAUGUAAUUUUGCAGCUAGUUUGAAGUUGCUUUUAUGUGACUUUAGUGCUUCUAUAUUUCUUUUCUCAUUGUUGUUCAUUUAUAUGAGUUAGAUGUUUAUCUACUGUUGUUUUUUUCAAUCUCCC